GCCUGUGUAGCUCAGUGUUAGAGUGCCAGUCUCAUGAGCUGGAAGUCGGAGGUUAAAAUCCUCUCACAGGCA
Molecule: transfer RNA, 72 nt
Filed under: Candidatus Pacearchaeota archaeon
Lineage: Archaea; Nanobdellati
Description: tRNA-Met
Rfam family: tRNA
About the family: Transfer RNA (tRNA) molecules are approximately 80 nucleotides in length.
Source: RNAcentral